RNAcentral lists this ribosomal RNA (435 nucleotides) under uncultured bacterium. RNAcentral's name for it is "bacterial SSU rRNA". It matches the Rfam family "Bacterial small subunit ribosomal RNA", at positions 29 to 507 of the family's 1533-position model. The record is from RNAcentral.
AACGAACGCUGGCGGCAUGCCUAACACAUGCAAGUCGAACGAGGCCCUUCGGGGUUUAGUGGCGCACGGGUGCGUAACGCGUGGGAAUCUGCCCUUUGGUUCAGAAUAACAGCUGGAAACGGCUGCUAAUACCGGAUGAUGACGAAAGUCCAAAGAUUUAUCGCCAGAGGAUGAGCCCGCGUUGGAUUAGGUAGUUGGUGGGGUAAAGGCCUACCAAGCCGACGAUCCAUAGCUGGUCUGAGAGGAUGAUCAGCCACACUGGGACUGAGACACGGCCCAGACUCCUACGGGAGGCAGCAGUGGGGAAUAUUGGACAAUGGGCGCAAGCCUGAUCCAGCAAUGCCGCGUGAGUGAUGAAGGCCCUAGGGUUGUAAAGCUCUUUUACCCGGGAAGAUAAUGACUGUACCGGGAGAAUAAGCCCCGGCUAACUCCGUG